RNAcentral lists this ribosomal RNA (556 nucleotides) under Lactiplantibacillus plantarum. Its description in RNAcentral is "bacterial SSU rRNA". It matches the Rfam family "Bacterial small subunit ribosomal RNA", at positions 52 to 577 of the family's 1533-position model. The record is from RNAcentral. Lineage: Bacteria; Bacillati; Bacillota; Bacilli; Lactobacillales; Lactobacillaceae.
UACUGCAGUCGACGACUCUGGUAUUGAUUGGUGCUUGCAUCAUGAUUUACAUUUGAGUGAGUGGCGAACUGGUGAGUAACACGUGGGAAACCUGCCCAGAAGCGGGGGAUAACACCUGGAAACAGAUGCUAAUACCGCAUAACAACUUGGACCGCAUGGUCCGAGUUUGAAAGAUGGCUUCGGCUAUCACUUUUGGAUGGUCCCGCGGCGUAUUAGCUAGAUGGUGGGGUAACGGCUCACCAUGGCAAUGAUACGUAGCCGACCUGAGAGGGUAAUCGGCCACAUUGGGACUGAGACACGGCCCAAACUCCUACGGGAGGCAGCAGUAGGGAAUCUUCCACAAUGGACGAAAGUCUGAUGGAGCAACGCCGCGUGAGUGAAGAAGGGUUUCGGCUCGUAAAACUCUGUUGUUAAAGAAGAACAUAUCUGAGAGUAACUGUUCAGGUAUUGACGGUAUUUAACCAGAAAGCCACGGCUAACUACGUGCCAGCAGCCGCGGUAAUACGUAGGUGGCAAGCGUUGUCCGGAUUUAUUGGGCGUAAAGCGAGCGCAGGCG